CUCUUAGGGAUCUGUCAAGCCAAUGGAAUUGACAACCAGGAUUAUCCAUCACAGAAAUGAAAUUUCGAAAGGAAUUCUGGACAAUUUCGUACACUCUGUACUUUGAAAGAAAGAAGUAGCUUAUCAGAAUAAGCUGCUCUGGAACCAUAAGGAGAGGGGAUGCCUGGUGGUCCCAGGCCUGGAGCUCAGGGCCAGAGUGGAUGCUCCACAAGGACAGGAAACCCUUCCACCCACAGAGACUUCACCCCAUUCUUAUCACCAGCCCCCAUCUGUUGAAGUACAAGAAAUUCCCCGAAGAGAUUCUGGAGACUAGGACUGACAUCCAAAGCAAGGCCUUUAGAAUAAAGGAUUAA
This 353-nucleotide long non-coding RNA is filed under the name Fukomys damarensis (Damara mole-rat). RNAcentral describes it as "lncRNA (ENSFDAG00000029613.1)". The record is from RNAcentral. Lineage: Eukaryota; Metazoa; Chordata; Mammalia; Rodentia; Bathyergidae.